AUACGGAGGAUCCGAGCGUUAUCCGGAUUUAUUGGGUUUAAAGGGAGCGUAGGUGGACAGUUAAGUCAGUUGUGAAAGUUUGCGGCUCAACCGUAAAAUUGCAGUUGAUACUGGUUGUCUUGAGUACAGUAGAGGUGGGCGGAAUUCGUGGUGUAGCGGUGAAAUGCUUAGAUAUCACGAAGAACUCCGAUUGCGAAGGCAGCUCACUGGACUGCAACUGACACUGAUGCUCGAAAGUGUGGGUAUCAAACAGGAUUAGAAACCCUGGUAGUCCACACAGUAAACGAUGAAUACUCGCUGUUUGCGAUAUACAGUAAGCGGCCAAGCGAAAGCAUUAAGUAUUCCACCUGGGGAGUACGCCGGCAACGGUGAAACUCAAAGGAAUUGACGGGG
RNAcentral lists this ribosomal RNA (393 nucleotides) under uncultured bacterium. Its description in RNAcentral is "partial 16S ribosomal RNA". It matches the Rfam family "Bacterial small subunit ribosomal RNA", at positions 523 to 918 of the family's 1533-position model. The record is from RNAcentral.